GAUGAGCGCUGGCGGCGUGCCUAAUACAUGCAAGUCGAACGAAACUUCUUUAUCACCGAGUGCUUGCACUCACCGAUAAAGAGUUGAGUGGCGAACGGGUGAGUAACACGUGGGCAACCUGCCCAAAAGAGGGGGAUAACACUUGGAAACAGGUGCUAAUACCGCAUAACCAUAGUUACCGCAUGGUAACUAUGUAAAAGGUGGCUAUACUACCGCUUUUGGAUGGGCCCGCGGCGCAUUAGCUAGUUGGUAGGGUAAAGGCUUACCAAGGCAAUGAUGCGUAGCCGAAUUGAGAGGUUGAUCGGCCACAUUGGGACUGAGACACGGCCCAAACUCCUACGGGAGGCAGCAGUAGGGAAUCUUCCACAAUGGGCGAAAGCCUGAUGGAGCAACGCCGCGUGGGUGAAGAAGGUCUUCGGAUCGUAAAACCCUGUUGUUAGAGAAGAAAGUGCGUGAGAGUAACUGUUCACGUUUCGACGGUAUCUAACCAGAAAGCCACGGCUAACUACGUG
RNAcentral lists this ribosomal RNA (512 nucleotides) under uncultured bacterium. RNAcentral describes it as "partial 16S ribosomal RNA". It matches the Rfam family "Bacterial small subunit ribosomal RNA", at positions 28 to 507 of the family's 1533-position model. The record is from RNAcentral.